Molecule: long non-coding RNA, 1630 nt
Organism: Equus caballus (horse)
Lineage: Eukaryota; Metazoa; Chordata; Mammalia; Perissodactyla; Equidae
Source: Ensembl
CACUUUCAAAUGGCAGACCAGGAUUUGAACCAGGGCAGCCUGGUUCCAGAGCUCUCUUCCUUCCUAUUACUCCCUGCUGCCAAAAUUCAGUGUCCUGAUACCUUCUGGGCACAUAGGCAAUAGGAGACACUUGUCUGUUAGAGGCAGAAGACUUUUUUGGGAGCAGUUCUGCUGUGUUUUCAAAGAAAGCCCACCCACAUAAUUCAUCUGUUAAAACAAGAAACACUGCUACUGUGAUGUUGACAUUCUGUCUAGAAGUGAGCAAAUUAACUUGUGUCUGUGUGUAAUUUCUUCAAACUAUGAAACAGUGAGAGAGUGGGUGAGAGUCAUUAUGAAAAAGAGUAAUCUUAAAAUACUCUGAAAUAUGAAAAUAUAAUAAAACAAUCCUACGUUAUCAUUAUACAUUAUUAUUACCAGGAAAAUGCAUUCGAUAAUGCUGCUGCUGCUAGCAUAUCAUCAUAGUGAUUUCUCCAUGCCAGGCACUAUGCCAAGUGCUUUCUAUGCAUCAUCUCGUUUAAUCCCCACAACCACCUUGGGAGAUAAAUGUGAUUAUCAUAGAUACCCUGUGACCCAGCACCCUUGCUUUUAGGUAUUUAUAUGAGAGAUGUGAAAGUAAAAGUCCACAAACAUACUUGCAUAAGAAUAUUAAUAGUAGCUUCAUUCACAAUCGCAAAAACUGAAAACAGCCCAGAUGUCCAUAAAUGGGAGACUAGAUAAACAAACUGGCAUGUUGGAAUAUUACUGAGCAAUAAAAAGGAAGUAACAUUGGUAUUUGCAACAACAUAGAUGAAUCUCAAGAUCAUUAUGCUUAAUGAAGAGUGCAUACUUUCACAAGAGUAUAUACUAUGUUAUUUUGUUUAAACCGUUUCGGUGGAAAAACAUCAGAACAGUGGUUACCUUUGGGAUGUGUCACUGGAAAGAGCAUAAGGGAAUUUUUUGGGUGAUGGAAAUGUUCUAUGUCUUGAUAGGGGCUUAGGUUACACAGGGGUGCAUUUAUCAAAAUUCCUCGAAAGGUACAUUUAAGGUUUCUGCAUUUCAUUAGAUGUAAAUUUUACCUAAAAAAUUCAAAACAAAUAGUGAACUCUAGUUAAUCAUAUGCCUAUUGAAGUGUUUAGAGGUAAAAUGUGCUGAUGUCUGCAACUUUUCUAGAAAUGCAUCAGAAAUAAAAUGGCUUGAUGGAUAGAGAGAGAUGGAUAGAAGGCUGGAUAUACGAUAAAACAGUGCAGGGUCCAGCACAUAGAAAUCACUCCAUUCACUGACUGAAAAUUGAAAGAGAUGGUUGGGACACGCUUCCAUGGCAUGAUAUGGGGAUGCAAUAGAGCCCUAUGUGACCCCAAACAACCCCAAGAACACCUGAAAAGGAGACAGAAGCCAAUCAAGGGAAGACACAAAACACGACUCUUCAUUCCAGUCUCUAUAGUCAGCCAGUAUUCAUUGAGUGCUUUUUCUGUGCUGGGUGGGGUGCUGAGGAGGGGAGAAAGACAAGAUUUUUUGGAGCUUUGGAGCUUACUGUCUAGGGGGAUGUAUACAUGUAUGCCUUAUGCAAAAUAAUUUAACUUAUAAAAAGUUAGUUCCAUUUGUGAAUACUAAUGAAUUAGAAGUGAGUAUAGAAAAACCAUAUAACAUGUAG